This 253-nucleotide ribosomal RNA is filed under the name uncultured bacterium. RNAcentral's name for it is "partial 16S ribosomal RNA". It matches the Rfam family "Bacterial small subunit ribosomal RNA", at positions 524 to 776 of the family's 1533-position model. The record is from RNAcentral.
CACGUAGGGCGCAAGCGUUGUCCGGAAUUAUUGGGCGUAAAGAGCUCGUAGGCGGUUUGUCGCGUCUGGCGUGAAAGCUUGGGGCUUAACCCUAAGUCUGCGGUGGAUACGGGCAGGCUAGAGGCAGGGAGGGGAGAACGGAAUUCCCGGUGUAGCGGUGAAAUGCGCAGAUAUCGGGAGGAACACCGGUGGCGAAGGCGGUUCUCUGGGCCUGUACUGACGCUGAGGAGCGAAAGCGUGGGGAGCGAACAGG